AAGGUAGCGUAAUAACCAGCCUUCUAAUUAGAGGCCAGUGAAAGGCAACACAUGGGACCACCUAUAUCUAAUGUGCCAAAAGAAUUUUACCUUUGAGUGAAAAGGCUCAACUAAUCAAAAAAGACGAAAAGACCCCGCGGAGCUUUACUCAAAAGUUACAGACCACAUAAACUCAACACCAAAAGUUUGGUUGGGGCAACCUUGGAACAAAUAAUCUUCCAAUUCAUCUCUCUGCAAUAAAAUACAAAACCUUUACGGACUAAAAAGAAGCUACCCCGGGGAUAACAGCGUAAUCCAACUUAAA
RNAcentral lists this ribosomal RNA (304 nucleotides) under Castalia ambigua. Its description in RNAcentral is "partial 16S ribosomal RNA". It matches the Rfam family "Bacterial large subunit ribosomal RNA", at positions 1953 to 2496 of the family's 2925-position model. The record is from RNAcentral. Lineage: Eukaryota; Metazoa; Mollusca; Bivalvia; Unionida; Hyriidae.